RNAcentral lists this ribosomal RNA (491 nucleotides) under uncultured bacterium. RNAcentral's name for it is "partial 16S ribosomal RNA". It matches the Rfam family "Bacterial small subunit ribosomal RNA", at positions 29 to 506 of the family's 1533-position model. The record is from RNAcentral.
AGUGAACGCUGGCGGUAGGCCUAACACAUGCAAGUCGAACGGCAGCACAGUAAGAUCUUGCUCUUACGGGUGGCGAGUGGCGGACGGGUGAGGAAUACAUCGUAAUCUACUUUUUCGUGGGGGAUAACGUAGGGAAACUUACGCUAAUACCGCAUACGACCUACGGGUGAAAGCAUGGGAUCUUCGGACCUUUCGCUAUUGAAUGAGCCGAUGUCGGAUUAUCUAGUUGGCGGGGUAAGGGCCCACCAAGGGGACGAUCCGUAGCUGGGCUGAGAGGAUGAUCAGCGACACUGGAACUGAGAAACGGUCCAGACUCCUACGGGAGGCAGAAGUGGGGAAUAUUGGACAAAGGGCGCAAGCCUGAUCCAGCCAUACCGCGUGGGUGAAGAAGGCCUUCGGGUUGUAAAGCCCUUUUGUUGGGAAAGAAAAGCAGCAGGUUAAUACCCCGCUGUUCUGACGGUACCCAAAGAAUAAGCACCGGCUAACUUCGU